GAAGCUUGCUUCAAUUGCCGGCGACCGGCGCACGGGUGCGUAACGCGUAUGUAACCUACCUAUAACAGGGGCAUAACACUGAGAAAUUGGUACUAAUUCCCCAUAAUAUUCGGAGAGGCAUCUCUCCGGGUUGAAAACUUCGGUGGUUAUAGAUGGACAUGCGUUGUAUUAGCUAGUUGGUGAGGUAACGGCUCACCAAGGCAACGAUACAUAGGGGGACUGAGAGGUUAACCCCCCACACUGGUACUGAGACACGGACCAGACUCCUACGGGAGGCAGCAGUGAGGAAUAUUGGUCAAUGGACGCAAGUCUGAACCAGCCAUGCCGCGUGCAGGAAGACGGCUCUAUGAGUUGUAAACUGCUUUUGUACGAGGGUAAACUCACCUACGUGUAGGUGACUGAAAGUAUCGUACGAAUAAGGAUCGGCUAACUCCGUGCCAGCAGCCGCGGUAAUACGGAGGAUUCAAGCGUUAUCCGGAUUUAUUGGGUUUAAAGGGUGCGUAGGCGGUUUGAUAAGUUAGAGGUGAAAUCCCGGGGCUUAACUCCGGAACUGCCUCUAAUACUGUUAGACUAGAGAGUAGUUGCGGUAGGCGGAAUGUAUGGUGUAGCGGUGAAUAUGCUUAGAGAUCAUACAGAACACCGAUUGC
This 647-nucleotide ribosomal RNA is filed under the name uncultured Bacteroidales bacterium. Its description in RNAcentral is "bacterial SSU rRNA". It matches the Rfam family "Bacterial small subunit ribosomal RNA", at positions 75 to 716 of the family's 1533-position model. The record is from RNAcentral. Lineage: Bacteria; Pseudomonadati; Bacteroidota; Bacteroidia; Bacteroidales.